This 890-nucleotide ribosomal RNA is filed under the name Polypedates leucomystax (Java whipping frog). RNAcentral's name for it is "partial 16S ribosomal RNA". It matches the Rfam family "Bacterial large subunit ribosomal RNA", at positions 1111 to 2605 of the family's 2925-position model. Lineage: Eukaryota; Metazoa; Chordata; Amphibia; Anura; Rhacophoridae. The record is from RNAcentral.
AGCAGCCACCUUUUAAAACGCGUCAAAGCGUAACCUUAACCCCCCAAAUACCAUUAAUCUUCAUGAACCCUCAAUUUAUAAUGAAUGACUCCAUAUUUAUAUGGAAGACACCAUGCUAGGAUUAGUAACAAGAAUUUAUAAUUCUCCAAAAUGCAAGUAUAAACCAACAUGGAUAGACCAUUGGUAGUCACCGAAUCUAAAUUUACUGCAAUAACACCCACAAGAAAACUCUGCAGUACUUACUCGUUAACCUAACACCAGCGCAUUAUAGGAAAGAUUUAAAAAAAGAGAAGGAAUUCGGCAAAUGACGGCCCCGCCUGUUUACCAAAAACAUCGCCUCUUGACUUGUAAUAAGAGGUCCAGCCUGCCCAGUGAAUUUUAAACGGCCGCGGUAUCCUAACCGCGCGAAGGUAGCAUAAUCACUUGUUCUUUAAAUGGGGACUUGUAUCAACGGCAUCACGAGGGUUUUACUGUCUCCUCUUUUUGAUCAGUGAAAUUGAUCUUCCCGUGAAGAAGCGGGAAUAAGCUUAUAAGACGAGAAGACCCCAUGGAGCUUAAAACCAAAUAACAACUUAACCACUUACCCCACUAUAAAUUUAAGCCCUGUUAUAAGGUUUUUGGUUGGGGUGACCGCGGAGUAAAACACAUCCUCCACGACGGAAAGAACACACUCUUUAUUUAAGAACCACAAUUCUAGAAAUUAGUAUACUAACGUUUACUGACCCGACAAUCGAUCAACGGACCAAGUUACCCUGGGGAUAACAGCGCAAUCUACUUCAAGAGCCCAUAUCGACAAGUAGGCUUACGACCUCGAUGUUGGAUCAGGGUAUCCCGGUGGUGCAGCCGCUACCGAAGGUUCGUUUGUUCAACGAUUAAAACCCUACGUGAUC